UUAGAUUUCUAAUAUAAUAUAGUAUUGUCCUGUCAACCAAUCACAAGUCUUGCCUUAUUCUGUGUUCUCUUCUUUCCUCUAGAGCAUAGUCUUCAUUUUGUUUUCACGAUUACCUUGGCUGACACACACGUCAUGCAUCCAAUGGCACAACAGCUGCUACUGAGGUUAAAAGAUAGAUUGAUUUCUGUCAUCAAUAGAGUACCUAUUGAUUUUGAGUACCUCCUAUUUGUCUCCACCCAAGAGUUGCAGUUUAUUCAAGCUGGCACACAAUACUUGGAUAUUCCUGCAGAGUUGGUGGAUGGUCUGCAAGAGUUGAUUUCAGUGCUCAGUUCACAUCUGUCACAGAAUACAGUUCCUCCUCUAUUUAGUGAUGUAGCCACAGUUUGUUGGAGUGGGAAUAUAGGACGGCCAGAACUUCAAAUGAGUCGUGACACACUACAGACAUUGCUGGAUACCUCUUUACCCCUAGUUCAUUUAGCAGAAAUGCAUGGCAUUUCAAGGUCAACUCUUUACAGAAGAAUGAAGGACCACAACAUAUCAGUGAGGGCAUGCUAUUCUUUAAUUUCUGAUGAAGAAUUAGAGCAGAAAGUCAGAGCCAUUAAGGGAAGGAUGCCGCAUGCGGGCUACAGAAUGGUCAAAGGAAAUCUCCGAGCAAUGGGUCUUCGUCUUCAAUGGAAAAGAGUGAGGCUGUCUUUGCAACGUGUAGAUGGUGCAGAUAUCAUUUCCAGGAUGAUUCAGCUUCAUUGCAUUGCUCGACGACGGUACUCUGUUCCUGCUCCCCUGUCUCUUGUCCACAUUGAUACAAAUCAUAAAUUGAUAAGGUAAAUUAAUGUCUUGUCUGGCAGAACUUAUUUUACAUUUAUAUGAUGUUGCUUGUUGAUCAAUGCACUGUGUUGUAUGAUGUGGGAGUUCUAUAUAAGCCUGUAAUAAACAAUGAAUAAUAUAUUUUUUUAAAUCCAUUUUUUUAAAGGUAUAACAUUGUCAUCUUUGGAGGAGUAGAUGGAUUUUCCCGGAAGUUAAAUGUUUUCUAUUCAUUCACAAGCUAUUUACCCUCAUUAAUAAGUUCACAACAUACAUGGUACGCAUCUACCUCUUUCAUAGAUUUUGUAUCUGGACACAGCAGCUAACAACAAAGCAUCAACUGCUUUUGGAUUCUUCAUGGAGAGUGUUCAGAGAAAUGGAUGGCCCUCCAGAGUGAGGGCUGAUCAAGGGGUGGAAAAUGUCGACAUUGCCAGGUGUAUGUUUACUGUCCGAGGAACAGGCCGUGGAAGCUUUAUAGCAGGCAAAAGUGUCCAUAACCAGAGGUAACAAAAUGAACUUGUCAACAUCGGCUUUUUUGAUAAUCCUACUCAUACUGGUGGAGUAAGCAGUACUCUGCUUUUGUGCAACAAAAGACCAUUUUUUAUAGUAGCCGCUUUGACAGAGCUGAAGGUAAACUAUUAUUUUAAUAAGACUGACAAGAAGCAUUAAUUAUAUUAUGUUUGUGUUUUGUUGGUCAAUUAUAUCAGUCUGACCGGAUGUUGGUUUAUCCUCUGUCAAGAUGGCUGCUUUCCAACAUGCUCCAUGGCAUGCUGGUUAUAGUUGGCAGUCAUAGCUUAUAUUGGACAGUGUACACACCUGGCACCUUUGCUCUCUCCUAUACUCUCCACUCCUGAUUGAAAUUUCCCGGUUAUGAACUAGGGCUGCCACUUCUGAUUAUUUUGAUAAUCGACUAGUCAUCAGUUAUUCUGGUGAGUAGUUGAUUAAUGAGAUCAGAUGUAAAUUGAAGCAUAUUCACAGCACCACUCAAAAGUUUAGACACUUACUCCUUGAAUCGGAUGAAAAAUGCUUAUUCUCAUACGUGUGUGCUUUUAUAUAAAUGUCAGCAUACAAUUCAAUAAAGCUGACCAGACAGAAAGGCAGCAGAAUGUACAGAGGCAAUCUUGUGAUGGAAAAAACAAGGCUUUAAAACAAUAAACAAGCAGUCAAUUAUUAAAAUAAUUGCUAACUACUGAUAGUCAACAUAAUCACAAUUAAUUUGCUAAUCAAGGUAGACCUAGUGUGAACUAACAGAAAAACACACCGGCUUAAAAGUAGAUGCAUCACUUAAAAACCAUGAAUUCCAUUUGUUAAUGAAAAUACAACACCAUUGUCUCUUUUUCUAACCAUUGGCUGUUGGCCUCUUUUCAGUGUGGAACGCUUAUGGAGAGAUGUUUGGAGUUGUGUAACGUCAAACUACUACAAUGCACUACACAGCUUAGAGGAAGAGGGCUUCAUUGACCUGUCUAAUGAGAUCCACCUUUUCUGUGUGCAAUAUGUGUUCAUACCUCGUCUGCGGUCAGAUCUACAGCAUUUCAUAGACAGUUGGAACAAUCAUCCAAUCUGCACAGAGGCAAACCUUACACCUCAACAGAUGUGGAACAUUGGAAUGCUUCAAGCACCUGUGCCUGAGCCAAACUAUGCAGAGCUUCAGCACAUUGAACAUCAGGAGGAGGUAUCUGAAGACACUGACCAUGGGGUUGUUGUUCCUGAUACUCCAUCCCCCCUCUCUGCAGAGAAUCUUGCUCUGCUGCAACAUGAAGUGAAUCCUAACUCUGACUCCUUAUCCUUUGGUCGGGACAUAUACCUGCGUGCUCUUCAUUUUGCAAUGACCCAUGUGUAAAUGGACAGACACUACUCAGACACCACUCAGCUUUGAAUGAAGCGAUAACAUGCCUGAGGCUUCCUGAUGGAUAACUACGUCACUUUACUGAUCAUCCCCUGGGGCUUGCUCUGUCCAUAACUCCACCAUUGUCUGGUCCCUGCCUUCCUGUUAAUGGAUUUCUACACUUCCUUUACUCACCGAGUGAGGUCUUAAUAUAAUGGCAGUAAAAU
Long non-coding RNA from Fundulus heteroclitus (mummichog), 2853 nucleotides. RefSeq lists it as uncharacterized. The record is from RefSeq and is a predicted model, not a curated record. The transcript has 6 exons. NCBI's taxonomy places the organism in Eukaryota, Metazoa, Chordata, Actinopteri, Cyprinodontiformes, Fundulidae.